CAUUAUCAUACAAACAAGAGGUGUCAGGGCUGUCGCUGACCCAANGGGUCGUGCACGCUCUGGGCAUCCUCACACAAUCCACUUCACCUUUGUGCAUCAUCGCGUGGGGUUCCCCCUUUUCAUUCCAAAAGGGGCCCACGUUUUUCACACAGACGCUGUAGUUAUAGAAUGCUUUUGUUUUGCAGUCACAUGCAACCAAAUAUAACUUUCAACAACGGAUCUCUUGGCUCUCGCAUCGAUGAAGAACGCAGCGAAAUGCGAUACGUAAUGUGAAUUGCAGAAUUCAGUGAAUCAUCGAAUCUUUGAACGCAUCUUGCGCCCCUUGGCAUUCCGAGGGGCACACCCGUUUGAGUGUCAUGAAACUCUCAACCCUUCUCCCUUUCUUGUCGAACCGGGAGGAUGGCUUGGACUUUGGAGGCUUCUGCCGGUUCCCAUCGGCUCCUCUUAAAGGAAUUAGUAGGGUCUCGUUUGCCGAUCCUUGACGUGAUAACGUUUGACGUCAUUUUGAGAGGCAGAGACUUUGCUUCCAACGGUCUCAUCAAGGGACACCGGUGAGAUUGAAAGAUCCCACCAAACCCCAUUGACCUCAAAUCGGGUGAGACUACCCGCUGAACUUAAGCAUAUCAAUGAGCGGAGGAAAAGAAACUAACAAGGAUUCCCCUAGUAACUGCGAGUGAAGCGGGAAAGGCUCAAAUUUAAAAUCUGAUGGUCUUUGAUCAUCCGAGUUGUAAUCUAGAGAAGCGUCUUCCGCGCCGGACCAUGCAUAAGUCUCCUGGAACGGAGCGUCAUAGAGGGUGAGAAU
This 802-nucleotide ribosomal RNA is filed under the name uncultured fungus. Its description in RNAcentral is "eukaryotic LSU rRNA". The stretch from base 582 to 802 matches the Rfam family "Eukaryotic large subunit ribosomal RNA", at positions 1 to 219 of the family's 3401-position model. The record is from RNAcentral. Lineage: Eukaryota; Fungi.